Molecule: small nuclear RNA, 76 nt
Filed under: Homo sapiens (human)
Lineage: Eukaryota; Metazoa; Chordata; Mammalia; Primates; Hominidae
Description: partial ncRNA
Source: RNAcentral
AGAUCGCUUCAGCCCAGGAGCUUGAGGCCGCAGUGAGCUAUGAUUGCACCUCUGAACUCCAGCCUGGGCAACAGAG